GUAGGGAAUCUUCCACAAUGGACGAAAGUCUGAUGGAGCAACGCCGCGUGAGUGAAGAAGGUUUUCGGAUCGUAAAGCUCUGUUGUUGGAGAAGAACACUAGUGAGAGUAACUGUUCAUUAGUUGACGGUAUCCAACCAGAAAGCCACGGCUAACUACGUGCCAGCAGCCGCGGUAAUACGUAGGUGGCGAGCGUUAUCCGGAUUUAUUGGGCGUAAAGCGAGCGCAGGCGGUUUUUUAAGUCUGAUGUGAAAGCCCCCGGCUCAACCGGGGAAGUGCAUCGGAAACUGGGAAACUUGAGUGCAGAAGAGGACAGUGGAACUCCAUGUGUAGCGGUGAAAUGCGUAGAUAUAUGGAAGAACACCAGUGGCGAAGGCGGCUGUCUGGUCUGUAACUGACGCUGAGGCUCGAAAGCAUGGGUAGCGAACAGGAUUAGAAACCCCAGUAGUCC
RNAcentral lists this ribosomal RNA (450 nucleotides) under uncultured bacterium. RNAcentral describes it as "bacterial SSU rRNA". It matches the Rfam family "Bacterial small subunit ribosomal RNA", at positions 354 to 796 of the family's 1533-position model. The record is from RNAcentral.